UUUAAUGAGAGUUUGAUCCUGGCUCAGGACGAACGCUGGCGGCGUGCCUAAUACAUGCAAGUAGAACGCUGAAGGAGGAGCUUGCUUCUCUGGAUGAGUUGCGAACGGGUGAGUAACGCGUAGGUAACCUGCCUGGUAGCGGGGGAUAACUAUUGGAAACGAUAGCUAAUACCGCAUAAGAGU
Molecule: ribosomal RNA, 183 nt
Filed under: Streptococcus pneumoniae
Lineage: Bacteria; Bacillati; Bacillota; Bacilli; Lactobacillales; Streptococcaceae
Description: partial 16S ribosomal RNA
Rfam family: Bacterial small subunit ribosomal RNA
Source: RNAcentral